CCUUUGAUGGCCGAGAUACAGGCAUUAAGCUUUUAACUUAACCACAGUUUUAACUUCAAAGGC
This 63-nucleotide transfer RNA is filed under the name Pseudocuneopsis capitata. RNAcentral describes it as "tRNA-Lys". The record is from RNAcentral. Lineage: Eukaryota; Metazoa; Mollusca; Bivalvia; Unionida; Unionidae.